AAGGCUUGACAUGGGCCGGAUCGCCGCAGAAAUGUGGUUUCCCCUUUGGGGCCGGUUCACAGGUGGUGCAUGGUUGUCGUCAGCUCGUGUCGUGAGAUGUUGGGUUAAGUCCCGCAACGAGCGCAACCCUUGUCCUGUGUUGCCAGCGCGUAAUGGCGGGGACUCGCAGGAGACUGCCGGGGUCAACUCGGAGGAAGGUGGGGAUGACGUUUCCAGGUUAGG
Molecule: unclassified non-coding RNA, 222 nt
Filed under: uncultured Micrococcaceae bacterium
Lineage: Bacteria; Bacillati; Actinomycetota; Actinomycetes; Micrococcales; Micrococcaceae
Description: contains 16S-23S intergenic spacer region
Rfam family: Bacterial small subunit ribosomal RNA
Source: RNAcentral